This 429-nucleotide ribosomal RNA is filed under the name Actinomycetes bacterium. Its description in RNAcentral is "Actinobacteria bacterium partial 16S ribosomal RNA". It matches the Rfam family "Bacterial small subunit ribosomal RNA", at positions 355 to 776 of the family's 1533-position model. The record is from RNAcentral. Lineage: Bacteria; Bacillati; Actinomycetota; Actinomycetes.
UAGGGAAUCUUCCGCAAUGGGCGAAAGCUUGACGGAGCAACGCCGCGUGAGUGAUGAAGGUCUUCGGAUCGUAAAACCCUGUUAUUAGGGAAGAACAAAUGUGUAAGUAACUAUGCACGUCUUGACGGUACCUAAUCAGAAAGCCCCGGCUAACUACGUGCCAGCAGCCGCGGUAAUACGUAGGUGGCAAGCGUUAUCCGGAAUUAUUGGGCGUAAAGCGCGCGUAGGCGGUUUUUUAAGUCUGAUGUGAAAGCCCACGGCUCAACCGUGGAGGGUCAUUGGAAACUGGAAAUCUUGAGUGCAGAAGAGGAAAGUGGAAUUCCAUGUGUAGCGGUGAAAUGCGCAGAGAUAUGGAGGAACACCAGUGGCGAAGGCGACUUUCUGGUCUGUAACUGACGCUGAUGUGCGAAAGCGUGGGGAUCAAACGGG